Mustela erminea (ermine) is the source of this 1061-nucleotide long non-coding RNA. RefSeq lists it as uncharacterized. Lineage: Eukaryota; Metazoa; Chordata; Mammalia; Carnivora; Mustelidae. The transcript is spliced from 2 exons. The record is from RefSeq and is a predicted model, not a curated record.
GUAUCUUUUUAUACUUUAUAUAUUUAUUUGAAAACUGGGCAUUUUGGAUAUUUUAAUAGGACAUCUCUGGAAAUCAAAUUCUUCCCCAUUCCCAGGGUCUGUUUUCACUGUUGCCUGUUGUGGCUUUUCUUGUGUGUUUGUUUAGUGAGUCUGUGUAUUGUCUUGUUUGGCCGCUGAAGUCUCUGUUCUAUUACCUUGGUGGUGACUGAGUGGAGUAGGUUUAUUUGAACACCUGGAAAUAAAAUAUCUCCCAUUUUUUUUUUUUUUUUUUUUUGCCAAGGGGCUCUGUGUACUUGUUGAGGGAAACUUUCAACACUUCACGAGACAGUUUACAACUCUGUCUUAGCUCUCACUUUAGUUCGCGGAGAACAUCAAGGUCAGCUAAGAGUGAGUUCUUUCCUCAGUGUGUGCACAGCUCUGUAUAUGGCCACAUAGAGUCCCAGGAGUGUGUCUGAACUUUUCAAAGCCCCAAUGGACAUUUUAUUCCCCAGCUUUAACAUUACAUCUUUUUGGUUAGUGUAUUGCUUGCUCCAACAGAUGUCUAUUGCCUUAGGCAGCAGUGACUACAAGAUUUGACUGUCAAGGCCUUCAAAGAAUACUCCCCAGGUAGCAGCUUUAGCAUUGGGUGAGUUCCUACUAAAGCAAAAUAAAGACAAGCUUUUUGAACUAGUCUUUCAGGAAGCCAAGAGAGAGGUCAAAUAAAUCAUUGUGAAGGAGGUUGGUUCUGUUUCCUCUAGUACCAGGAAUGUGGGCUGUUAUUUUCAUGGUUACCAGUGAGCUGGGGAGUUGGGAAUGGGAGUUGGGUAAGUUAAUAUACCACAAAGUUCAUUCUUAUUCUUGACACAAAGCCAUUCUUCUUUGUCUGAGUGCUUCUUGGGUUGCUGCAAGCCUUUGGUUAUUUUCCAGAGUUCUGAAAAAGUUGAUUGUGACAGUUCUUGCCAGUUUUUUCAUUGUUUUCAGGGAAGGGUGGGAUUUUGGAGUUCCUUCUUCCACCAUUCUUCCUGACAUCACUCUCUGCAGUGUCUUUUUUUUUUUUUUUUUGAAAGAUUUUAUUUAUUUAA